Ornithorhynchus anatinus (platypus) is the source of this 138-nucleotide non-coding RNA. The record is from Rfam. NCBI's taxonomy places the organism in Eukaryota, Metazoa, Chordata, Mammalia, Monotremata, Ornithorhynchidae.
CUCCUCUCAGGAUCGCACCUGGGGGGUUUCCAGUACUCUACCAGACUUGGCUACAGGAGGAAGAGUCAAGCAGAGGCCCACCCAUUCCAUUCCCAGCUUGGGCAGCGGCUAGCAAGUGGAAGGCAAUGUGUUACAAGU